This is an RNA transcript of Brassica napus (rape), 1661 nucleotides long. It is a transcript of the gene named COP9 signalosome complex subunit 3-like, with no coding region annotated. The transcript is spliced from 8 exons. Lineage: Eukaryota; Viridiplantae; Streptophyta; Magnoliopsida; Brassicales; Brassicaceae. The record is from RefSeq and is a predicted model, not a curated record.
GUUGAUAGUAGAAUAGGAGCACAGUUACUAGAGAGUAUUAUUUUCAUUAUCGAUUCUGUUCUACCCUUGAUCCGCAAGCUUCCUUUUAGUGUCACAGAAGAUCUGGAGCAAGAUCUAAAGCAUAUGAUUGUUCGGCAUUCAUUUCUAACGGUUGUUCAUGCAUGCGUUAGUUGUUACUCUUUGUAAGAGAUUCAAAGACAGAGUUUUGGAGCUUAAGGAUCCGAUAAGAGGGGUGGCGCCACUGGUGUCAGCUGUUCGCAAGGUUCAGGUCUCUGCUAAUUGUUCGACUGUAUUGCAUCCGGAUUGUCUUCAGCUAUGUCUCCAGGCCAAGUGCUACAAAGCUGGUUAUGAUGGAAUGAAUGGCAUUGGACUGAAGAGAUUCCAGAAGACAUCGGAGCUUCAUUACAAUCCUUACUACGAAGUGGGUAAUCGUUAUAACGAUGGGAAGAUCAGUGAACUAGAGGCAGUGGUUGUGGCCCAGAGCUCAGAUCUUGAACAGGAUAAGGACACUGGAUUAGUGAAGCAAGCAGUGUCAUCCCUUUACAAGCGCAACAUACUGGGAUUGACUCACAAGUACUUGACCUUGUCGCUUCAAGAUAUUGUCAACAUGAUGGUCCAAACUGCUAAUGCUAAGGAGGCGGAAACGCAUGUGAUUCAGAUGAUACAGGAUGGUCAGAUACAUGCUCUUAUCAACCAGAAAGAUGGAAUGGUGAGAUUGUUGGAGGACCCUGAGCAGUACAAAACCAGUGAGAUGAUAGAGGUCAUGGUUUCUGUCAUCCAAAGGACAAUUGGGCUGUCGAAGAAUCUGCUAGCCAUGGAUGAGAGUUUGUCAUGUGAUCCUUUAUACUUGGGAAAGGUAACGUAGUGCCAUGUUUCAUAUAGACUGUUCUGUUCUCGCCUUUGUUUGAGAACUGUCAACAAACUAGUGAAUAAACGAGACGAGGACUCGUCAGUGGGGUUAGGAGAAGUCUUCAUGCUGAGCUUGAACCGGAUGGAGACGACUCGAAGAAAACGGUCAAGUGACGACUCUUCGGUCGAGUGAGGACUCGUCGGUCAAGUGAGGACUCGUCGGUCGAAGUACGGUCGAGUGACGAGAGAAAGAUUUGCGCUUGAAUGAACGAGACGAGGACUCGAAGAGAAUAAGACGAGGACUCGAAGAGAAUAAGAAAAAGGUGUUUAAUGAUCAAGCUGGACCCAGUGAAGGGUUGCCUACGUACCUUGAAAGGGGAUCAAGCCAAUCGUAGUUCUACAACAAAGGAUCACAAGUGCUUAGGUGAAAGCAUGUGGAAAGGUGUUUCUCUCUCUAGAAGUAGAGAGAGAUGGAUGAGAGACCAAAAGAGAGUCCAAGAUAGCCCUCUCAAAGGAGGUUGGAAGGGAAAGUCAAAGGUACGACUUCGGAGACGAUUUUGAUACUGCCCCUCAGAAGUUCUCCAUGUAAACAGCGAAAUAACCUGAAGGAGAGCAAAACUUGUCUCAAACUCUUGUUGCGAGAAUCUUCUUUUUUGCUGUUCUUUGUUCUUUUAUGAACUUUCAUAUAUUCGUUUGUUAUCGGUUUAGAUAGUCCUAAACCGAUAUUACAUUUGUACAGAAAACAUAACCCAACAUUCUUUUGUACCGAACCAAUAUAACCGAAAUUCAUAGAAAAUUAAUAUUUUUAGUUA